RNAcentral lists this ribosomal RNA (277 nucleotides) under Scrippsiella trochoidea. RNAcentral's name for it is "partial Bacterial large subunit ribosomal RNA". It matches the Rfam family "Bacterial large subunit ribosomal RNA", at positions 241 to 518 of the family's 2925-position model. Lineage: Eukaryota; Dinophyceae; Peridiniales; Peridiniaceae. The record is from RNAcentral.
UAGUAGUGGCGAGCGAACGCGGAACAGCCCAAACCAUUUUAGUUACGGCUAGAGUGGGGUUGUAGGACCACGAUAUCUUAACAAAAACGAACGAGAAUUACCUGGGAAGGUAAGCUAUAGAAGGUGAAAGCCCUGUAUUGGUAAGUUUUUGAGCGGUAGUGGUAUCCUGAGUAGGGCGGGGCAGGUGAAACCCCGUUUGAAUCUACCGGCACCAUCCGGUAAGGCUAAAUACUCCUGAGAGACCGAUAGUGAACCAGUACCGUGAGGGAAAGGUGAA